CCUCCCAAAAUAAAAUUUUCUUUCAUAAACAAAAAUAAAAAAUAAUACUUUAAAUAUCACUAAUGUAGUUCAUACUUUUUUUACUUUAGUAUUCUAUAAUUUAAAGUGUACCAUAUUGAAGCAUCAAAUCAAACCACAUUGAGCCAGUUCAACCAACUUAUUAAAUCAAAAUCAAUUCGGAAUCAAGAGGACAACCGAACCACACCAAAUGAUCCAACUGCACCAAUCACAACUUGAUAGUUUUCGAAUUUAUAAAUUUGUAUUCUUGAGAGUGUAUGGUUGUAACCUCCUCCGCAAUAUAGGAGUAACCUCCUCCACAAUAAGUGUGAGAAGUUCUCCUUUAUGUGUAUAAGUUUCUCAAUCGGACAUUAAUGAAGUGUGUAAGCUUCCAAUUUUUUUAUGGUAUCAGAGCCACGCUAAGGCACCAAAGAUCUUAAAAAAAAAAAUUGGCAUCCUUAGCUAACCCGAAAUUUUCCUUUCCCUCCACCAUUAAUGUGGCAAAUUUCGUCACAUUGAAGCUCAAUGACAACAACUAUCUGCUCUGGGAAACACAAGUAGUGUCACUGAUCGAAAGUCAGGACUUACUUGGUUUCCUCAUGGGGGAGACUAUCGCACCACCUAAGAUGUCGACUUCAGAAAGUGGAGCCACCGUCAACAACCCAGACUACACAUCUUGGGUACGGACCGAUCGCCUUGUGAAAUCAUGGAUCGUGGGCACUCUCUCCGAAGAGGUUCUCGGCCAUGCCGUCGGUCUUCAAACUGCAGCUGAAGUGUGGACAGCAUUAACCAACCACUUCAAGCAGAGCUCGAUCGCCCGUGAAUUCGACCUACUCGCACAGCUGCAACACAUCAGGAAAUGAAAUAAUCCUUUACCUACUUACCUUCGUAAUUUUAAAUCAAUUUGUGAUCAACUGCAUGCUAUUGGCAAACCUGUUUCGGAUUCUACCAAAGUUUUCAGGUUAUUAGAAGGGCUCGAUGAAAGCUAUGAGCCAUUCAAGACGACUAUGUUCCGACCUCCUAUUCCGCUAUAUACAGAGGUGGUUCCCCAACUCCAAAGCUAUGAAUUACGAAUCAAGCGACACUCAAGCCCAGCUCCUGAUGUGUCUAUGGCUUUUGUGUCACAACGGGGACGCGGAAGCAACCGGCACAGAGGCCGAGGUAGAGGCCAUAACUUCAACUCUCGAGGCCGGGGUUUUCCUCAGACGACCCAAGGUGGCAGAUCAGAGGGCUAUCAAUCUACUCCGCCGCCUGGGGCUGAUCGUGCAGCCUUGACUUCCUCUACUGGCAACAAUCCUCUCACUUGUCAAAUUUGUAAAAAGCGAGGCCAUGAUGCUCUGCGAUGCUGGUUUCGAUUCGAUAACAGCUAUCAAAGUGACGACAUUCCCCGUGGUCUAGCUGCUCUCUAUAUCACUGAUGUGCAUGAUGAUGAAUGGCAUCCCGACACUGGUGCCAAUGCUCAUAUCACAGAUAAGCCAGGUAACCUUACUAACUUGGUUCCUUAUUCUGGAUCUGAUAGUGUGAUGGUAGGAGAUGGAACUUCCCUACCGAUUACUCAUGUGGGUACGGGCUCUUUUGGUAAUGGUAUUCAUCGCUUUUCGCUUUCUAAUGUCCUGGUUGUCCCGCAAAUGAAGAAAAAUCUUCUCUCUGUUUCCAAAUUGACCACAGAUCAUCCCUGUUAUUUUAAAUUUGAUGCAUCUGGUUUUUCUAUUAAGGAUUCCAAGACACACCAAGUACUAAUGACGGGAAAUAAUCAUCAAGGGUUGUACACCAAUAAAGAUCCGCAGCUUGCAGCUUUCUUCUCUCAGCGAAAUAAGGCGACCGAUGAACUCACUUGGCAUCGUCGAUUGGGCCAUCCGAAUAGCCAAAUCUUGCAGCAUUUGCGGAGUAAUAAUUUAAUUUCAGUAGCUAAGUCUUCUGGCACUUUGUGUACAAGCUGUCAGAUCAGCAAAAGUUCAAAAUUACCAUUCUAUAUAUCUAAUUCUCGAUGUUCUUUUCCUUUGAAUAAAUUACAUUGUGAUAUUUGGGGACCAGCGCCGGUAUCUUCAAUGCAACAGUUUCGAUAUUACGUAGUAUUUAUUGAUGAUUUUUCUCGUUACUGUUGGUUAUAUCCAUUGAAGCGCAAAUCAGAUUUUUUGGAUAUUUUUCUCACCUUUCAAAAAUUGGUUGAAAAUCAAUUUGAAAGAAAAAUUAAAAUUUUUCAAUCGGAUGGCGGGGGUGAAUUCAUUAGUAAUGCCUUUCUUUCUCAUCUUCGCAAUUGCGGCAUCCAACACCAACUUUCAUGUCCGAGCACACCAGAACAGAAUGGUGUUGCAGAAAGGAAGCAUCGCCACAUUGUGGAACUUGGACUCGCUGCACUAUUUGAGGCCUCAAUGCCCUACUGCUACUGGGUGGAGGCAUUCACCACUAUUAAUUAUUUGAUCAAUCGGCUUCCGUCUGCAGCACUAGGCAAGAAAAGUCCAUAUUCAGUUCUUUUCAAAAAGGAUCCCGACUAUUCACAUCUUCGUACUUUUGGAUCUUGUUGCUUUCCAUAUCUUCGCAGUUAUAUGGUGAAUAAAUUCGACAAACGAUCAUUGCCUUGUGUCUUUUUAGGCUACAGUGAGAAACACAAGGGUUAUCGCUGUCUUCAUCGAUCUACCGGUCGUAUCUAUAUUUCUCGACAUGUUAUUUUUGAUGAACAUUACUUUCCAUUUGCUACUUCCUCUCAGAUCGCUGCUACUUCUAUCGGGGAUCUCUUGCAUUGGGGCUCCACUCUCGGCUCUACUGACUCUACUCAAUCUAGCCGAACUUCUCUAUUUGAUUCAACUGACUCAAGAGAAGUUGCUCGAUUAUUCUCCGAUGAGGUUGCAACUACUACUUCAACAAACUUGCAACCUACUGAUCCUCCCAGCUCUUCGUCUAUGCCUCCAGUCGAUGCCGCACCACCUGCGACAGAAGUGGCCACUCCCUCUAUGCAUCCUAUGGUGACCCGCUCCAAGAUCGGAAUUUUCAAGCCUAACCCACGGUAUGCUAAUCUUGCCCUAUCAUCAAUUCCUCUCGAACCGCACACUGUCCAAUCGGCUCUUAAGCACUCUGGGUGGACAGCAGUGAUGCGUGAGGAAUUGGACGCUCUUGCAACAAAUAGAACAUGGCAGCUUGUUCCACGGUGUCCCUCGAUGAAUGUCAUCGGAUGUAAAUGGGUCUUCAAGACAAAACUCCAUGCGGAUGGGUCACUAGAUCGACUUAAAGCCCGCCUUGUGGCCAAGGGCUUCCAUCAGGAGGAGGGGGUCGACUUUCUUGAGACAUUCAGUCCGGUCGUAAAGCCGGGUACUAUUCGUAUCGUACUCACUAUAGCUACUGUUCGACAUUGGCCGAUUCGUCAAUUGGACGUUAAAAACGCUUUCUUACAUGGCGACCUCGUAGUACCGGUUUAUAUGGAGCAACCACCUGGUUUUCGUGACCCGACUUAUCCCGAUCAUGUGUGUUUACUUCGGCGCGCACUGUAUGGGCUCAAGCAAGCUCCUCGGGCAUGGUUCGACAAAUUCAGUGACUUUCUGAUUGGUUAUGGGUUCGUUUGUAGUAUCUUCGAUCCAUCAUUAUUUAUCUAUCGUCAUGACAAUCAUACUAUUAUUCUACUUCUCUAUGUGGAUGAUAUUGUUCUCACAGGUGACUCGCACCAACUUUUAGAUCGACUUAUUUUUGCUCUUGGUCAGGUUUUUCCUAUGAAAGAUUUGGGUCCUCUACAUUUCUUCUUGGGGAUUGAAGUACACCGCUCUUCAAAUGGUUUAUUUCUCUCACAACAAAAAUACGCUUCUGAUAUCUUAACUCGGGCUUCUAUGGAGCAAUGCAAGCCCAUUGCCACCCCUAUGACCUCUAAACCACCUCCACUUAAGGAAGGAGACAAACUAUAUAGUGACCCCUCGCACUAUCGAAGCGUUGUCGGUGCUCUUCAAUAUCUCACCAUUACUCGCCCGGAUCUCUCACUCGCGGUCAAUGUCGCCUGUCAGCAUAUGCAUGCUCCUACUAAUGCCAAUUACCAAUUAGUAAAGCGUAUACUCCGAUAUUUACGGGGAAGUCUACAUCUAGGGCUUCGCAUCCUAGCUCGUAGCUUGCUGGACUUAUUCGCCUUUGCUGAUGCGGACUGGGCAGGAUGCAAACUUACGCGUCGAUCUACUACAGGUUAUUGUUCUUUUCUUGAUUCUAAUUGUAUUUCUUGGUGCGCAAAGAAGCAGCCUACUGUGUCUCGAUCCACGGCCGAGGCCGAAUACCGGGCCCUCGCCUCAGCAGCUGCUGAACUCACGUGGAUCUCGCAUAUUUUACGUGAUAUUGGCAUUUCUCAACCUCGGCCUUCCCUACUUUUUUCCGACAACAUAUCUGCUUUGCAUCUCACAACUAAUCCAGUCUUUCAUGCUCGAACCAAGCAUAUUGAGAUCGACUAUCACUUUGUGCGGGAAAAGGUUGCCCUCGGUUCUAUUAUCACUCGUUACGUUCCAUCCUCUUUACAACUUGCUGAUAUUUUUACCAAACCAUUGACUCGGGACAGCUUUGUUGGUCUUAGAUCCAAACUCGGUCUCUGGUUAUCACCAAUGCCCAGUUUGCGAGGGAGUAUUGAAGCAUCAAAUCAAACCACAUUGAGCCAGUUCAACCAACUUACUAAAUCAAAAUCAAUUCGGAAUCAAGAGGACAACCGAACCACACCAAAUGAUCCAACUGCACCAAUCACAACUUGAUAGUUUUCGAAUUUAUAAAUUUGUAUUCUUGAGAGUGUAUGGUUGUAACCUCCUCCACAAUAUAGGAGUAACCUCCUCCACAAUAAGUGUGAGAAGUUCUCCUUUAUGUGUAUAAGUUUCUCAAUCGGACAUUAAUGAAGUGUGUAAGCUUCCAAUUUCUUUAUACCAAUUUAGUAUCCUGUAGUUUCGCACUUUUUUACUUUACUUUCUUAUGAUUUAAAGUGCAUCAAUUUAGUACCAUGUGGUUUCAAUUUUUCUCUUUCGUUGGUUUGUCUGUUAAUAUUUUGUUAAAUUAUAUACAAAAAAUUCAGAUACACUAUCUAGGUUUAUCAAAUAGUUACUUUAGUACCCUAUAGUUUUAACUUUGUUACUAUUUUUUUUCCCUCCGUUAAUAUUUCGUUAAAUUACAUACAAAAAACUUCAGAUACUCUACCUAUAUUUAUUGAAUAUUCACUUUCAUAUUCUUUAGUAUUAACUUUGUCACUAAUUUAACAAAAAAAAUUAGUGAAAUGGAUAAUAAAAAAAGUAAAAUGAAACCACAUGAUACUAAUUUGAUACACUUUAAAUCACAGAGUACAAAAGUGAGAACGUGCGAAACCACAGGGCUAACUUUAUACACUUUAAAUCACAGAGUACUAAAGUGAGGAAGUGUGAAAUUAUAAGGGGUUAUUUGAUUGAAUUUUAUCCUAAUAAAAAACUUAUUUGUUCCUGCAUUAUUUACUAUAUUUUUUUAACUUUACCGCUUCAUCUUAUAAAAUAUUCAAAAUGAUAAGAUAAUAACUCACA
RNAcentral lists this long non-coding RNA (5492 nucleotides) under Ananas comosus (pineapple). Its description in RNAcentral is "long non-coding RNA (ACOM_LNC025412)". Lineage: Eukaryota; Viridiplantae; Streptophyta; Magnoliopsida; Poales; Bromeliaceae. The record is from RNAcentral.